GUCCUAGCGGAAACGAGUUAUCUGAACCUUCGGGGAACGAUAACGGCGUCGAGCGGCGGACGGGUGAGUAAUGCCUGGGAAAUUGCCCUGAUGUGGGGGAUAACUAUUGGAAACGAUAGCUAAUACCGCAUAAUGUCUACGGACCAAAGAGGGGGACCUUCGGGCCUCUCGCUUCAGGAUAUGCCCAGGUGGGAUUAGCUAGUUGGGGAGGUAAUGGCUCACCAAGGCGACGAUCCCUAGCUGGUCUGAGAGGAUGAUCAGCCACACUGGAACUGAGACACGGUCCAGACUCCUACGGGAGGCAGCAGUGGGGAAUAUUGCACAAUGGGCGCAAGCCUGAUGCAGCCAUGCCGCGUGUAUGAAGAAGGCCUUCGGGUUGUAAAGUACUUUCAGUCGUGAGGC
This 402-nucleotide ribosomal RNA is filed under the name Vibrio sp. P1-18. RNAcentral describes it as "bacterial SSU rRNA". It matches the Rfam family "Bacterial small subunit ribosomal RNA", at positions 60 to 448 of the family's 1533-position model. Lineage: Bacteria; Pseudomonadati; Pseudomonadota; Gammaproteobacteria; Vibrionales; Vibrionaceae. The record is from RNAcentral.